RNAcentral lists this ribosomal RNA (1190 nucleotides) under metagenome. RNAcentral's name for it is "bacterial SSU rRNA". It matches the Rfam family "Bacterial small subunit ribosomal RNA", at positions 284 to 1499 of the family's 1533-position model. The record is from RNAcentral.
UAGCCGGACUGAGAGGUUGAACGGCCACAUUGGGACUGAGACACGGCCCAGACUCCUACGGGAGGCAGCAGUGGGGAAUAUUGCACAAUGGGGGAAACCCUGAUGCAGCGACGCCGCGUGGAGGAAGAAGGUCUUCGGAUUGUAAACUCCUGUUGUUGAGGAAGAUAAUGACGGUACUCAACAAGGAAGUGACGGCUAACUACGUGCCAGCAGCCGCGGUAAAACGUAGGUCACAAGCGUUGUCCGGAAUUACUGGGUGUAAAGGGAGCGCAGGCGGGAAGACAAGUUGGAAGUGAAAUCUAUGGGCUCAACCCAUAAACUGCUUUCAAAACUGUUUUUCUUGAGUAGUGCAGAGGUAGGCGGAAUUCCCGGUGUAGCGGUGGAAUGCGUAGAUAUCGGGAGGAACACCAGUGGCGAAGGCGGCCUACUGGGCACCAACUGACGCUGAGGCUCGAAAGUGUGGGUAGCAAACAGGAUUAGAUACCCUGGUAGUCCACACCGUAAACGAUGAUUACUAGGUGUUGGAGGAUUGACCCCUUCAGUGCCGCAGUUAACACAAUAAGUAAUCCACCUGGGGAGUACGACCGCAAGGUUGAAACUCAAAGGAAUUGACGGGGGCCCGCACAAGCAGUGGAGUAUGUGGUUUAAUUCGACGCAACGCGAAGAACCUUACCAAGUCUUGACAUCCUGCGACGAUGCUGGAAACAGUACUUUCCUUCGGGACGCAGAGACAGGUGGUGCAUGGUUGUCGUCAGCUCGUGUCGUGAGAUGUUGGGUUAAGUCCCGCAACGAGCGCAACCCUUACUGUCAGUUACUACGCAAGAGGACUCUGGCAGGACUGCCGUUGACAAAACGGAGGAAGGUGGGGAUGACGUCAAAUCAUCAUGCCCUUUAUGACUUGGGCUACACACGUACUACAAUGGCGUUAAACAAAGAGAAGCAAGACCGCGAGGUGGAGCAAAACUCAGAAACAACGUCCCAGUUCGGACUGCAGGCUGCAACUCGCCUGCACGAAGUCGGAAUUGCUAGUAAUCGUGGAUCAGCAUGCCACGGUGAAUACGUUCCCGGGCCUUGUACACACCGCCCGUCACACCAUGAGAGCCGGGGGGACCCGAAGUCGGUAGUCUAACCGCAAGGAGGACGCCGCCGAAGGUAAAACUGGUGAUUGGGGUGAAGUCGUAACAAGGUAG